GACGAACGCUGGCGGCGUGCCUAAUACAUGCAAGUCGAGCGAAUCAAUGGGAGCUUGCUCCCUGAGAUUAGCGGCGGACGGGUGAGUAACACGUGGGUAACCUGCCUGUAAGACUGGGAUAACUUCGGGAAACCGGAGCUAAUACCGGAUACGUUCUUUUCUCGCAUGAGAAGAGAUGGAAAGAUGGUUUCGGCUAUCACUUACAGAUGGACCCGCGGCGCAUUAGCUAGUUGGUGAGGUAACGGCUCACCAAGGCGACGAUGCGUAGCCGACCGGAGAGGGUGAUCGGCCACACUGGGACUGAGACACGGCCCAGACUCCUACGGGAGGCAGCAGUAGGGAAUCUUCCGCAAUGGACGAAAGUCUGACGGAGCAACGCCGCGUGAGCGAAGAAGGCCUUCGGGUCGUAAAGCUCUGUUGUUAGGGAAGAACAAGUACAAGAGUAACUACUUGUACCUUGACGGUGCCUAACCAGAAAGCCACGGCUAACUACGUGCCAGCCGCCGCGGUAA
Molecule: ribosomal RNA, 512 nt
Filed under: uncultured bacterium
Lineage: Bacteria
Description: partial 16S ribosomal RNA
Rfam family: Bacterial small subunit ribosomal RNA
Source: RNAcentral